UAGAGUUGUAAAACUCCCAAACCCAUGUGAACAUACCUGUUGCCUCGGCGGCCUACCCGGCAGCUACCCUGUAGCUACCCUGUAGUCCGCCGAAGGAUUUCAAAACUCUUGUUUUCAGUUGUAUCUCUGAGACAAAAACAAAUAAAUCA
Molecule: unclassified non-coding RNA, 149 nt
Filed under: uncultured Xylariales
Lineage: Eukaryota; Fungi; Ascomycota; Sordariomycetes; Xylariales
Description: sequence contains ITS1
Source: RNAcentral